UUUCACUUGCAACAAACCUGUUCAUUUCCAAGUGUGAAGAGAGUGCUACUGAAUUAGUGAGUAACUGUUCAGACAUGAAAAUGGUCAUCAGUGACUAUUCACUACAGGUUUUUACCAUUUUUUUUAUAGUGAGGUCUUUCGGUAAGACAAGCAUUUCUGCUAAAACAAACAGUUCAACUGAAAGUGUUUAGAAAUACAAAUUUUUGCUGUUUAUCUCCAUUGUAAUCAAAAGGGUCUGCUGUUAGUGAGCUUAGUACAAAUACGUAUUAAUAAACACUUCAGAAAACUGAACCACUGAGUAAUUACGAUGCAGUGACAAACAGUAUGAAAUUCAGGGAGAGUGAUGGAGACCAAGAAUAAUGCUCUGUAGUCACAGGCAUGAGUGCUGUGAUGGGAGAUCUAUGAAAGCGUUUACUCGUGAAAUACUUCUGUGAGGUGUCUGUGCUCAGACAUCUCUAAUUGCCAGAUUCAAAGCUUUGUAUUUUAACUGGGCAAUGAUAAACGCACACUGAAUUUUAAAUGCAAUGCUUUUAAAUUUAAUUUUAGUAGCAGAGGCACUCACCAAGAGAUUAACAUCAUCCUGAGCCAGCAGCUGCAAAGCUUUGUAGAUGCUUGCAAAGAUCAGUGGGUACGAGUAGCUCCUUAAGCCAUGUGCCCAUUCCCAAGUGAGGUGGCCAUAAUUAUUAACGUUAAGGAUAGACACGAACAACUACAGUUAAGCUUCAUUCGAGCAGCGCUAUUCUCAGACCUGCCCAGGUGGAGGCAUCUACCUCUGUGCCUAAGAGCUGCGGAGUCCCGAGCGCUCCUGCCGCGCGAAGGCGGUGAGGAGUGGGGAGCGGCGAAGGAUAUUCGAAGACCAUGCGAUGCGCCACCUCCAGCGCCUGCCAGUACUCGUCCGGAACGAAGCUGGUCUGCACAAGGAAGCAGUUGAGCGCCCGCAGCGCCACCGCCAGAGCCAGCAGCCGCGCCGGCCCGCCCGCAGCGCCUGCAAGGGGAAAGGCUGUCAGUCACUGGUCCCGCUGGGGCCACCACUCCCCCGCCCCGCUUACCUGCUCCUGGCUGCCCGGCGGCUGCGGUGGGGUCGCUGUACAGCACAGACCGCCGCUUGCGGAGUCGCACCGCUUCCUUCCGCCGCGCCCGGGCCAGAAGUCCCCCGGCAACCGCCAUCCGCGGGGCGGGGCUGCAACACCGGCGCAUGCACCACCUCUGCGCCGCCGCCACUUCCUUCCGGCCACUCUAGGGAACGGGAGGCCUCUGGUCUGUGGUCUCCCUGACUCCAGCCGCCCGGGCCGGAGCAGCCUCCUGACGGCACUGCGGGGUCGCCGGCGGUCGCUGCGCCGGAGAAGAGGCCCUGAGGGACUCGUGAGAGCCGCGCCGCUGCCCUGGCGCCGGUACCGCCUCCAGCGAAGGCCCGCGCCUCCCGCUGAAGGAAAUGGCGCCCGCGCCCCCCAGCAACUGGGAGUGUUCGUCGCCUGCAGGGGAGCGGCCCUGCUGAGGCGGGCGGUUUCCCUCGGCCCGGCCCUGCUCUGA
Molecule: long non-coding RNA, 1530 nt
Filed under: Amazona collaria (yellow-billed parrot)
Lineage: Eukaryota; Metazoa; Chordata; Aves; Psittaciformes; Psittacidae
Description: lncRNA (ENSACOG00000017278.1)
Source: RNAcentral